CCUACGGGAGGCAGCAGUGAGGAAUAUUGGUCAAUGGACGCAAGUCUGAACCAGCCAUGCCGCGUGCAGGAAGACGGCUCUAUGAGUUGUAAACUGCUUUUGUACGGGGGUAAACGCAGGUACGUGUAUCUUUCUGAAAGUAUCGUACGAAUAAGGAUCGGCUAACUCCGUGCCAGCAGCCGCGGUAAUACGGAGGAUUCAAGCGUUAUCCGGAUUUAUUGGGUUUAAAGGGUGCGUAGGCGGUCGGAUAAGUUAGUGGUGAAAGCCCGCGGCUCAACUUCGGAAUUGCAUCUGAUACUGGUAGGCUAGAGUGCAGUUGAGGUAGGCGGAAUGCAUGGUGUAGCGGUGAAAUGCUUAGAGAUCACGCAGAACACCGAUUGCGAAGGCAGCUUACCAAGCUACCUCUGACGUUGAGGCACGAAAGCGUGGGGAGCAAACAGGAUUAGAUACCCCUGUAGUC
RNAcentral lists this ribosomal RNA (460 nucleotides) under uncultured bacterium. RNAcentral's name for it is "partial 16S ribosomal RNA". It matches the Rfam family "Bacterial small subunit ribosomal RNA", at positions 338 to 795 of the family's 1533-position model. The record is from RNAcentral.